AUUGAACGCUGGCGGCAUGCUUUACACAUGCAAGUCGAACGGCAGCGCGGGCUUCGGCCUGGCGGCGAGUGGCGAACGGGUGAGUAAUACAUCGGAACGUGCCCAGUAGUGGGGGAUAGCUCGGCGAAAGCCGGAUUAAUACCGCAUACGACCUGAGGGUGAAAGCGGGGGAUCUUCGGACCUCGCGCUAUUGGAGCGGCCGAUGGCAGAUUAGCUAGUUGGUGGGGUAAAGGCCUACCAAGGCGACGAUCUGUAGCUGGUCUGAGAGGACGACCAGCCACACUGGGACUGAGACACGGCCCAGACUCCUACGGGAGGCAGCAGUGGGGAAUUUUGGACAAUGGGCGAAAGCCUGAUCCAGCAAUGCCGCGUGUGUGAUGAAGGCCUUCGGGUUGUAAAGCACUUUUGGCGGGAACGAAAGGGACUGUGCCAAUACCACGGUUC
RNAcentral lists this ribosomal RNA (444 nucleotides) under Lautropia mirabilis. RNAcentral describes it as "bacterial SSU rRNA". It matches the Rfam family "Bacterial small subunit ribosomal RNA", at positions 29 to 478 of the family's 1533-position model. The record is from RNAcentral. Lineage: Bacteria; Pseudomonadati; Pseudomonadota; Betaproteobacteria; Burkholderiales; Burkholderiaceae.